GAGCAAGUGCCAAAGACCCAGGACCGAAGAAUGUGGGUGUGUUUGAGAACAGCAAGGAAGCCGGUGUGUCUGGCUGAUGUGGGGCUGAUCUCUGGUCUGCAGUUUCACACAGAAAUGAAAGGAGCAGAGAAGCCGUAUGUUGAUGACAAGGCACAUUAACCUGUUAGAGGAGCUAACCUUACCAGAAUCAAGUAGAAUGGAGUCUCUACCGGCAUGAGGUCCCCAUAAUUAUUCCAUGAAGACUUACUGCUCAUUAGCCUGAGGGGGAAAAAUGAAUUAAUGGACAAUGAAAGACAGUGACAAAUCUGUUAUCUAAAGUGUGUGCCAAAAUUGCUGCCAAUUGACAUACGUGUUUUAAACCAAGGAAUAAAAUAGGCUCAGAAGUCAA
Suricata suricatta (meerkat) is the source of this 388-nucleotide long non-coding RNA. RefSeq lists it as uncharacterized. The transcript is spliced from 2 exons. Lineage: Eukaryota; Metazoa; Chordata; Mammalia; Carnivora; Herpestidae. The record is from RefSeq and is a predicted model, not a curated record.